GAUGAACGCUAGCGAUAGGCUUAACACAUGCAAGUCGAGGGGCAGCAUGGUCUUAGCUUGCUAAGACUGAUGGCGACCGGCGCACGGGUGCGUAACGCGUAUGCAACUUGCCUCACAGAGGGGGAUAACCCGUCGAAAGACGGACUAAUACCGCGUACACUUGGGAUAGGGCAUCCUGACCCAAGGAAAUGAAAUUCGCUGUGAGAUAGGCAUGCGUCCCAUUAGCUAGUUGGUGAGGUAACGGCUCACCAAGGCGACGAUGGGUAGGGGAACUGAGAGGUUGAACCCCCACACUGGUACUGAGACACGGACCAGACUCCUACGGGAGGCAGCAGUGAGGAAUAUUGGUAAAGGGGCGAGAGCCUGAACCAGCCAAGUCGCGUGAAGGAUGACUGUCUUAUGGAUUGUAAACUUCUUUUAUACGGGAAUAACAAGAGCCACGUGUGGCUCCCUGCAUGUACCGUAUGAAUAAGCAUCGGCUAACUCCGUG
Molecule: ribosomal RNA, 490 nt
Filed under: uncultured bacterium
Lineage: Bacteria
Description: partial 16S ribosomal RNA
Rfam family: Bacterial small subunit ribosomal RNA
Source: RNAcentral